This 540-nucleotide ribosomal RNA is filed under the name Triticum aestivum (bread wheat). Its description in RNAcentral is "partial small subunit ribosomal RNA". The record is from RNAcentral. Lineage: Eukaryota; Viridiplantae; Streptophyta; Magnoliopsida; Poales; Poaceae.
AUGGAGGAUGGCUCCAUGAACAACAGAGGUCGGUGGGGAAGGGGGAGGAGCCCAUCGAUGAAAGCAACAGGGACAGCGGAGAGGCUAAGGAGUGGCUUGGCCAGAGCCCAGAUCAGUAGCGGCCUCCUCUCCACACAUGCUUCCCUCCCCUUGCCACCACUAGAGGGCACCGCCGGGCAAAUUCUGGACGGCGUUGACGCUGGGGGCGCAACGGCGGCUGCUCUUGGCGGUAGAGUGGCGUGUAGGCGCCCAGUCACCGUGGAACUGGCGCAACGCGGCGAGGGCAAGUCGCAGGUGAGCGACGCGGACGCACAACGGGCUCGGAUGUUGUGGAUCUGGUGUCGAGCGGUCGUGCAGUGGCAUGGGGUGGAGCUGCAGCUUGGGUUGCGCGGCUCGGUGGUCCGGCCCGGCAAGGAAGAGUGCCGCCAUGCUGCGGGUAAAACGGAUUUGAUUUGCAUUGGUUGCGGUGGCGUGCAUGGGGCGCACCGGCCAUUUAGAUGUUUGGUUACAACCUGGAUCCAUGGUGGUUCUUGGCUUUGA